CUGCAAGUCGAACGCGUCUUGGGGGGCAACUCCUGAGAUGAGUGGCGAACGGGUGAGUAACACGUGAGUAAUCUACCCUCGAGUGAGGAAUAACCCCGCGAAAGCGGAGCUAAUACUGCAUAAUACUCUGGAGCGUAAGCUUUCAGAGUCAAGGCUUUCCGAGCAAUCGGACAGCGCUUGAGGAUGAGCUUGCGGCCUAUUAGCUUGUUGGUGAGGUAACGGCUCACCAAGGCAAAGAUGGGUAGCCGGCUUGAGAGGGUGUACGGCCUCACUGGGACUGAGACACGGCCCAGACUCCUACGGGAGGCAGCAGUGGGGAAUCUUGCGCAAUGGGCGAAAGCCUGACGCAGCGACGCCGCGUGGAGGAUGAAGGCCUUCGGGUUGUAAACUCCUGUCAGAGGAGAAGAAUCUCCGAGCAAUCGGA
RNAcentral lists this ribosomal RNA (424 nucleotides) under uncultured bacterium. Its description in RNAcentral is "bacterial SSU rRNA". It matches the Rfam family "Bacterial small subunit ribosomal RNA", at positions 55 to 468 of the family's 1533-position model. The record is from RNAcentral.